AUGGCGGCGGCUCUGCUCCGAGCCGCUCGUGCUUCGCGGCACCUCGCGCUCCCUCGCUCUAUCGUCGGCCGCUCUAGCCAACUAUCCUCCUCCUCCUGCACCGCCUCUACGGCGGAGACGCCGUCCACUGCCGCCGCUGCGCCGCCCAUCCCGGCAGACGUUGAGGACGCGGUCGUCGUCGAAGCCGAAGAGGAGGACUUGAGGAGCCACAUCUUCCGGCUGCGGCUGGCGAAGCGGAGCGCGACGGAGGCGCUGGAGAAGUGGGCCGGCGAGGGCCGCGCCGCCCCCGCGCCGGAGCUCCGCGGCAUCGCCCGCGACCUCAGCCGCGCCCGCCGCUACAAGCACGCGCUCGAGGUAGCAGAGUUUAUGAAGACACAUCAUGAGUCUGAUUUAUCUGAGAACGACUAUGGGGUGCGCAUUGACUUGAUUACAAAAGUUUUUGGCGCGAAUGCAGCCGAAGAUUUUUUUGAGAAGCUUCCACCUACAGCCAAAUCACUGGAAGCAUAUACUGCAUUCCUCCAUUCUUACGCUCGAUCAAAGAUGAUAGACAAAGCUGAGAGGCUGUUUCAGAGAAUGAAGGAUGCAGACCUGCCUAUUGAUGUCCUGGUCUACAAUGAAAUGAUGACCCUGUAUAUUUCUGUGGGCGAGCUUGAUAAGGUUCCAACUCUUGCCGAGGAAUUGAAGAGGCAAAACGUUUCGCCAGAUCUAUUCACAUACAACCUCCGGAUCAGCGCGUCGGUUGCAUCCAUGGACCUAGAGGUCUUCAGAGGAAUUCUCGAGGAGAUGUCAAAAGAUCCGAACUCCAACGAAGGGUGGACACUGUACCGAAACCUCGCUAGUAUCUACGUUGAUGCCAGCCAGCUUGUUAGCUCGGGGAAUUCGCUGGUAGAAGCCGAGGCGAAGAUUAGCCAGAGGGAUUGGAUAACCUACGAUCUCCUCGUCAUCUUGCACGCCGGUCUCGGCAACCUGGACAGGGUGAAGGACAUAUGGAAAUCGAUGCAGAUGACUGCCCAGAGGAUGACUAGUCGGAACUAUGUCUGCGUGCUCUCUGCCUAUCUGAUGUGCGGGCAGCUGAAGGAUGCCGCGGAGGUCGUCGACCAGUGGCAGCGAUCGAAACUCCCAGAGUUUGACGUCUCCGCCUGCAACAGGCUGUUUGAUGCCCUUCUGGCUGCCGGCUUCACGGACACGGCGGAUAGCUUUAGAGAGCUGAUGUUGCAGAAGAGCUGUAUACUGUCGAGCAGGGCUAGCGCGUGCUCCUGA
RNAcentral lists this ribosomal RNA (1260 nucleotides) under Triticum aestivum (bread wheat). Its description in RNAcentral is "partial small subunit ribosomal RNA". Lineage: Eukaryota; Viridiplantae; Streptophyta; Magnoliopsida; Poales; Poaceae. The record is from RNAcentral.